This 231-nucleotide ribosomal RNA is filed under the name uncultured bacterium. Its description in RNAcentral is "partial 16S ribosomal RNA". It matches the Rfam family "Bacterial small subunit ribosomal RNA", at positions 103 to 334 of the family's 1533-position model. The record is from RNAcentral.
CGGGUGAGUAACGCGUGAGGAACCUGCCUCAAAGAGGGGGACAACAGUUGGAAACGACUGCUAAUACCGCAUAAGCCCACGGCUCGGCAUCGAGCAGAGGGAAAAGGAGUGAUCCGCUUUGAGAUGGCCUCGCGUCCGAUUAGCUAGUUGGUGAGGUAACGGCCCACCAAGGCAACGAUCGGUAGCCGGACUGAGAGGUGAACGGCCACAUGGGACUGAGACACGGCCCAG